AUGACGGUGGCGGUGUGCCAUGUCAUGCCGCCGGCGCUGGACGUCGCUGCUCACACUCACACUCGCAUGCCGGCGUCGAUGCCGCCGCCGCCGCAGCUGGACAUGUGGAGCGCCAUGCAGACCCCGGCCGAGGACGUCUGCGCCACCAAGACCCCGACGCCGCCGGCCAAGGCCAAGGUCACCUACCCGAUGGCGACGGUCCGGCGGUCCAUGAGCCACGAGAGCCUCAGCCUCUGCACCGAGAGCGUCGGCUGCGAGACCGGCACCCGCGACGACUUCCUCGACCUGUCAUCCAUCCUCUACGCACCGCCACCGACCCACCAGACCGAGGAUACCGUUACCGGGGACUUCUUCUCGCCGCUGGCAUUGCAAGAAGACGAGGAGGAGGAGGAGGAGGAGGCGAUGGGGGAGGUGCCCCUUAGGGAGGUACAGUACCACCGCGCUCGGCCGCAGCGCGCGUUCCCGCCGCCUCUGCCGUCCAUGUCUCGCCGCGGCGGUGACGACGGCGGACCGUCCCUGCGGGUGCGCCCGCACCGCCGAGACGGGCGCCUCGUGCUGGAGGCCGUGGCCACGAAGCCCCAGGGGUACCUCCAUGCCCAGCGCCAGGACGGCCGCCUCAAGCUCUGUUUCGUGGAGUGCUCCCCUGCCUCGGGAUCUGUUCUCCACCACCAGAAGCAGAGCAUGGUGCAACAGCCACACCAAGAACACAAUAGCGUCGACGAGGAAGACGAUGUCUUCGAGGAGGAGGAGGACGAGGUGGAGGUGGUAGACAGGGGCACGGUGGUGGAGGUAGUGGCGGCGUCCGGCAAAGCGCAGCGGUGCUCGAGGAUCGUCAUCAACAAGUUCGUGGGCGGCGCGCCGGCCAACACAGACGACGCGUCCCCAUCGCGCUGCUGCAGAACUACCGUCGACGAAUUAGCCGCUCCGACCGUGACGCCUGGGCUGCGCCGGGUCCCGUCGUCCACGACGACGCUGGCGGCCGCGGUGGCCGCCGCGUCCACGGGCAUGCAGUCCGACGAGGAGGACGAGGAAGAGGUCGACGACGAGGAGAAGCGGAGCGUGCCGCUGCUGUUCACGUCGCGGGUGGGGGACAGGGAGGAGCUGGUGCAAAGCGUGCGGCGGUGCCGGCAGCUCCGGCGGAGGCCGCUCUUCAUCGUGGAGCCAUACUCCAUCAUCGCCACCUAA
Molecule: ribosomal RNA, 1185 nt
Filed under: Triticum aestivum (bread wheat)
Lineage: Eukaryota; Viridiplantae; Streptophyta; Magnoliopsida; Poales; Poaceae
Description: partial small subunit ribosomal RNA
Source: RNAcentral